CUCAUACGUGUUUCUUUUCAGACAACGAGAUCAAAGCAACUAUAUAUGAUUAAUUAUUUGGGAGGACAACACAUGCAUGGCUCUCAUGCUAUUCCAUCUGUACAAGAAAGAUGAAAAGUUUCAUUAAUUUAGAUGAGCCAAGAUACUCAUGAAUCAUGACUCUAUUUCAAAACUUGCACAUCAGGACUGCUUCUCCCAGAACAUGCCCCUCAAUUGCCUCCAACAUCUUCUCUUUUGUCACCUUGUUUCCAAGACUCAGUUCCUCAUCCAAAGCAAAGAGCUUGAACUCGAACCUAUGUCCAUGACUUGGAAGCUUGGGUCCACGCCACCCUGGAACCUUAUGGUCAUUGUUUCCUUCCUUGAUCCCUGUAUAAUCACCACCUGUUUCCUCUUCUUUCCCCGAGAAACCCUCAGGUAGCUUCUUUAACGUAGGGGGUAUAUUAACUACGACCCAGCAGGUCCAGGGAACAAUAGGACCUUCUGGGUCAGGUGCAUCUAUGUCCUGCACCACCAAGGCCAGGCUCCUGGUUCCUUCUGGCACAUUAUACCACUCCAGAGGUGGGGAUAGAUUCUUGCGUGCUCCUUGACCUUCCUCUGUGUACUUUCUUGGCAACCUUCCUUCAUGGUCUAUUGCAGGGGACACCAGCCUGAACUCAUCUGCCAUGGCUAGAAAGCUUUGUUGAUUUAUUGGUGAUGAAAGGAUGUUUGUGCCAAGGCAGCUUAUAGAGUAUGGUGGACAACGCAGAGAA
RNAcentral lists this unclassified non-coding RNA (749 nucleotides) under Hevea brasiliensis (rubber tree). The record is from RNAcentral. Lineage: Eukaryota; Viridiplantae; Streptophyta; Magnoliopsida; Malpighiales; Euphorbiaceae.